Molecule: long non-coding RNA, 655 nt
Filed under: Salmo salar (Atlantic salmon)
Lineage: Eukaryota; Metazoa; Chordata; Actinopteri; Salmoniformes; Salmonidae
Description: lncRNA (ENSSSAG00000116378.1)
Source: RNAcentral
GGAACAACAUGGUUGGUUAAGGCAUAUUGAGCAUGGCUAGAGGCUCUACAGUGAAAUAAGACAGUAAUCACUAACCAGGACAGUAAUGGACGAGGCAUAUUGAUAUUAGAGAGAGGCAUGCGUAGCCAAGUGAUCAUAUGGGUCCAGUGAGUGGUUGGGCUGACUGGGGACACAGCGAUUCAGACAGUUAGCAGGCCAAUGCUAACAAGCUAACAGUUAGUAGGCCGGGGCUAAACAAGCUAGCAGUUAGCAGACCGGGGCUAGCAAGCUAGCAGACCGGGGCUAGAAGGUUAUCAGAAGGGCCUUUGGGGGACGUCACGAUGGAGCUUGGUGCUAACAAGUAAUGAAUUAUCAGAUGUGUCCGAUGGAGGUCAGGAUGUCCCUGACUCAGAGAGAAGCGUGGAGAGAAGCGUGGAGCUGAGGAGUCUCCUUGGAGCUCAGACAACUUCUCCCUGGAGGUCAUCAGCUGUCUUGACCUUCAGUAAUCCCAAUGAUAUGAAGUGGUUCAUCACUGAGAGCAAGAGCCACAAGAGUUUCCAGAAGAAGGGUUUGAUUGGCUGGGUGCUGGAGAGGGUUCAGAGUGUGAGAGUGGAGAAUUGGUUGUUGUUUCUCCAGAUUUGAAUUACAGUACAGGUACUGUACUGUAUCAUGCCUG